GCAUCAUGGACUGCAGGGGGAUGUCAAGUACCACAAAUACAACUGUCAGUGGUGAAGCCACAUAACAGGAUCACAGAGCUCCCCACAAAGCAGUGACACGCCCACCUGAAACUCUUGAUAUCAACAUAAAUUCAAACUGUCAUUUAUUCAUGUGUUCCUGUCGUCUACAACAUGGACAUUUUCACAUAUGGUCACCUCAGCUUUUUGAUAUUUCUGCUUUGGAUCAAAGGUCUAAUUGAUGCCAAGGAUGUCACACAAACUCCCAUGCUGUGGGAACGACAGGGUAAUAAUGCAACAAUGGACUGCAGCCAUACCAAGGAUGCUAACUAUAUCCAGAUGUACUGGUACAGACAGCUGCCAGGAGAAAAUAUGGAACUGAUUGUGUUCACGACAACAGCCAAAAAAUACGAUCACGACUUUGGAAAAUUCAAAAAAGAGAAAUACUCAGCCACAAAGACUGAGGUUCGCGAUGGGACAUUUACAGUGAAGGACCUGCAGCCAAAAGACAGCGGCUGGUAUUUCUGUGCCGUCAGUAAGCACAGUGAUACAGACUCAUGUGAAAGCUGAACAAAAACCUCACUGAAUGGUCGGCACAAGUGUUGCAAUUAUUUCCUGUACUGUAGGGGGACCUCAAGUACAACUACAGAUCAGAGGAUCAUAUGAAGGUCUUCAACUUCCCAAAUCACAGCUCACACACACGCUUGUUUCUUAAAUUUAGGUUCGUCAGAGCACAAUUAUUGAUCACAAUUGAUCUGAUCAAGCCCUCUUUAGCUCUGUUCUUCAUUAGAGGUACUGUCCAUUAAAAUGGUCAUCUGUACUUGUCACUCUGCUCAGUUAAAUUAACUUAUGGGGAA
Molecule: non-coding RNA, 854 nt
Organism: Oreochromis niloticus (Nile tilapia)
Lineage: Eukaryota; Metazoa; Chordata; Actinopteri; Cichliformes; Cichlidae
Source: the annotation of a RefSeq genome assembly